RNAcentral lists this ribosomal RNA (711 nucleotides) under Stenotrophomonas sp. RNAcentral's name for it is "bacterial SSU rRNA". It matches the Rfam family "Bacterial small subunit ribosomal RNA", at positions 34 to 732 of the family's 1533-position model. Lineage: Bacteria; Pseudomonadati; Pseudomonadota; Gammaproteobacteria; Lysobacterales; Lysobacteraceae. The record is from RNAcentral.
CGCUGGCGGUAGGCCUAACACAUGCAAGUCGAACGGCAGCACAGUAAGAGCUUGCUCUUAUGGGUGGCGAGUGGCGGACGGGUGAGGAAUACAUCGGAAUCUACUUUUUCGUGGGGGAUAACGUAGGGAAACUUACGCUAAUACCGCAUACGACCUUCGGGUGAAAGCAGGGGACCUUCGGGCCUUGCGCGAUUGAAUGAGCCGAUGUCGGAUUAGCUGGUUGGCGGGGUAAAGGCCCACCAAGGCGACGAUCCGUAGCUGGUCUGAGAGGAUGAUCAGCCACACUGGAACUGAGACACGGUCCAGACUCCUACGGGAGGCAGCAGUGGGGAAUAUUGGACAAUGGGCGCAAGCCUGAUCCAGCCAUACCGCGUGGGUGAAGAAGGCCUUCGGGUUGUAAAGCCCUUUUGUUGGGAAAGAAAAGCAGCGGGCUAAUACCUUGCUGUUCUGACGGUACCCAAAGAAUAAGCACCGGCUAACUUCGUGCCAGCAGCCGCGGUAAUACGAAGGGUGCAAGCGUUACUCGGAAUUACUGGGCGUAAAGCGUGCGUAGGUGGUCGUUUAAGUCUGUUGUGAAAGCCCUGGGCUCAACCUGGGAACUGCAGUGGAAACUGGACGACUAGAGUGUGGUAGAGGGUAGCGGAAUUCCCGGUGUAGCAGUGAAAUGCGUAGAGAUCGGGAGGAACAUCCAUGGCGAAGGCAGCUACCUGG